This 5497-nucleotide long non-coding RNA is filed under the name Corvus moneduloides (New Caledonian crow). RNAcentral describes it as "lncRNA (ENSCMUG00000017687.1)". The record is from RNAcentral. Lineage: Eukaryota; Metazoa; Chordata; Aves; Passeriformes; Corvidae.
GGCUGAGGGAACCGGGAAAAUUGGGGAAUGAAUGGUUGGACUGAGGGGUAGAAGUCCCGCGAGGGAAGAGGCACAGGCUGAGGGGGGUGGCAGGUCUAAGGGGACUCGAUGGAUCUGAAGGGAGUGAGGGGGGGUGAGAAAACUUUGAAGAACUGGCAGGACUGGGGGUUUGCUGAGGGGAUGGAGGGAGCCAGCAGGGAGCACAGUGGGGUCCGGGCCUGCGGCUCUGCCAGCCCUUGGAACCAAUUCCAGAGCCUCCGCUUUUGCCACAGCUGCCCUGAAGUCCUUGAGAAGAGCCGGAGAGUGACGGGAGCCAGCAGGGAGAAGCUGAAGGCCGCCAGCAAGAGCAGCGAAUAUGGACCUGCUGCUGCCGCCCGAGACCCUGGGUGUCCCAUCUGCUGUCCCCGUCCAGGAGAGCUGCGCUGCGCGGGAGGAAGAGGGAGAGAGAGCCUGGGAACAUCGGCGCCUGCAAUCCCUCCCGAUCUAGUUCUAGUUCUAGAUGUUUACAGUUGGACUGGGAGAGCUAGAAGUAUAUGGAUAUUUACAUAUGUAAACUGAUAUUUGUAUAGGUGUAUAUGUAUGUAUGUUGUUAUAUUACAUCUGUAGUCAUAUUUUCAUACUUGUUCAGUUGUGCAGCUGUAUAGUUCUGUUGCUGGGCCUGUAUGGAUUUUUUAUUGGUCCAUUGAUAGUUCUAUGUUUAUCGAUAGGUUUGUUAUGUAUGGAAUGUAUUUUUCAUGUUAGAUGUCAUGAUAUAUGUAAUACAUAAUUAAAUCUGUAUAUUGUUAUGGUUAUAUCUGUAUUUACUCAUAUUUAUAUAUAUAUAUGGAGUUGUAUAGUUCUAUAAUUUUAUUUAUUCUGGAUCUGGGAUUCUUUAGGGAGGGAUAUCAAUAGUUCUGUAUUCGUAUAUGGGCUGUACAGUUAUAGCAAUAUGUAAUAAAUUACAUUGUUAAACCUCAUAUUUGUGUAUAGUGAGUGGUUGUAGAGGGUUGCAAGAAAUUAACGUUUUUCAUUGAAGUUGAUCUCUGUAUAUAUUUACAUAGCAUGACUGUAACAAUAAAUUAGUUUUCUAAACUUCAACUGAUACUUGUAUGUUGAUAUAUUGGCAGCACAGCUGUAUCAAUUUAAAAUAAAUGUCAUUUUUAAACUGAAGUUGCUUUUUGUGUAUUUGUACAUUAGCAGUGCAAGUGUAACAAUCUGCAAUAAAUUCAGUGUUUCAACUGAAAGAAGGGUAGAUUGUGCUCUCCAAAGGACUGGGCAGAUGUAAAUGGGAUGAUGCUGGAGGAUUUUGGCCAUAAAGUCUCCAGCUGUGCCCAGCAGAUCCCCCCCAGCUGCAGCCAGGCUGGGCAAGGGAACGGCACAUUUGGGAUGGCAGCAGAGCCACACGUUGGCUACAGGCUCGCUGCAGAGGCCUGCUGAGAAAACGGGACUCCCCUGAGCGUAGAACUGCAGCCAGGAGCCACCCGGGGAGGAGAAAUCCACCCCCGUCCCACCGGGAGCUCUUUAGGGAGCGCUCCCGGUGCCCCUCUGAAGCUCAUCCUGGAGAGCAGCAGCAACCAGGGAUCCCGAGCCAGCUGCGCUGCCUUUGGCAGCACUUUGGCAAAGGGUCUGGAGCAAGGGCGAGGGCACAGUGACUGUAACUGCUGCAGGGCAGGGAUGAGGGAAGGGCCAUUGACCCAAGUGCUGACAUGCUCCAAAAUCCAGAAGGAUGCAGGAGAACUGGGAAGCAACAAGUUCUCACAAGUGCUGAAGUGAUGGAAGCCCUUUGAGUGAAGUUCCCUGAAGGAACUCCCAGGGGAGUUGAUGCCAUAAUAAGUAGGACCAGAAGGCAAAAAUAUUGUACUGCUAGGAGAUGGUCUAUAAGCCCCACAGGCAAUGGCUUAAGAAAAGAUCAAGUAUAUCUUUGAUAUACUCUAUUUAUUAUACUAGAUCUAUUUAAAUAUAUCCUAUAUUAUUGUUCUAUACAGGAUAAAUUACAUAGAUGAGAAGAAUUGUCACUUCAUGUAGGUUUGAAAUACUCUUCCAACUUGGGAGAGUGAAGAUGUACUGCUGUCCAAAGCCUUCUGCCCACACAGCAAUCAGCCCACGGCUGUGUCCGUGCACACCCACCCACCGUCCUUGCUCUUCUCGGCAUCUCUGGGCUGCUGUUUGCACACAAUUAGGGGGAAUUCAACUCGACAGACCUACGAGUGGGGUGUCCAGCUUGUCACGAACGCUGACGUGGCAAGGCACAACACAGAGCUCUCAAAUCACUUACAUUAUCACACGUGCUUUCUUUCCUGCUGGUAUCCUCAAGUAGCAAAACCUGGUGGGUUUUUUAAGAUUGCAACUUUCCAAAAACUAAGAAAGCUGCUCAGCAUCAGUACCCCCCUUGUAAAUGGUUUUAUUGACUUGGAGAAACUGGAACGUUACCUUUGGACUCCAUCCUUGGUUAAAAUCACCUGCCCUGACCUGCAGACUAAAGCACCAGCAGCAGCAGAAGCUACAUCAGUCACUUCUCUCAAAAAGCUGUCUAGGAUUUGUGAGAAGAAAGGAAAACACGUCAGACACUCUGGAUGAAUGACAGGACUGGGAGAAAUAGUUCCAAAGCAAAGGGCCGCAGCUUCUCUGGGACGCUCCUCGCGCUCCAAGGCAGCCGGGCUGCCCUGGCUGCCCAGGACGCUGCGCAGCACGGGCCCCGCAGAGCUGCGCAGCAGGGAGGCAGCUUCGGGCACCUCAGCCCCCGGGCAGGAGCGGCCUCCUUGCUCUGCACGGCUGCCUGUGGGCAAAGGCAGCGUGCCGGCCUUCUGCUCUUGGCCCCGGCCCGGCCUGGCAGGGCUAAUCCCGUUCCCUGUCUGCAACGUGCUAAAGAGGGACUUGGUCCUUUCCAGCCCUCCAGGGCAUUCGUUUGCACCACAAAACACUGAAGGACUGAGGCCUCAACAACAGGCCCUGAGCCAAAGUUGCCUCUAGAUGGCCCUUCUGACCAAAUGUUCUAUGGGUCUGCUCCUUAGCAGGCAUUACCAUCAAUGGGAUCUGUGCAUCCCUUCAUUGGUGGAAUGUGUCUUUACCUUUCGGCAUCAAGAAACCGGACAAGGCCACAUCUGGCCUCGGUUCCUCCUUGAGCCCUGGCUGGGCUUGGGGAGAAAACCAAGAGGAGAAUGAAAUCAGGUGUCCCUGCACUAGAAGUUCUGUCAGAUGCUCCUGCAGCACUGUCCAAGCCGGGCUACUCUCACAGCGCCCUCGGAAGCCUCGUGGCCGGCAAAGGUGGAGGCACCGCAGGAUGUGCCCGUUGCCGGUCGUGGCUCUGCAGGGCUUUGCUGGGACAGCUUCCCCCAGCCGAUGUGUGGAUCUGGAUGAAGGGAAAAGGAUUAGGGUUAUCCUUUUCUGAUUUUUUUUCAGUUUUGGAUGAUAGGAGAUUACACUGUUGCUUCAGUUAUUGCCUGUGGUUUUGUCUCUGACCCUGCCCACCGGCAAAACAAUUGCCCAUCCAGUUUAGCACAAGACUUGAGAGUGCUAAAUUUGAAGGAGGAGAAAAGCGCUGAUCUGCACAAAAAGAGACAAUCCUUCUCACACCUCCCUCCUUGGGUUUCCUGGAGCUGCUGCUGUUACCAGGGCUGCUGCUCCUGCCUGAAACCUCCCCCCCUGCCUCUCUGCAAGCCCAUCUCUUAGAGAACACUCCUGAUCGCCACCACCUCAAACAAAAUUUGUUGCAGUGGGGAUACUGCAACACGCAUAUAUCAAACCAGGAGUCCCGUGGAAAGGAAAUAUAUAUGGACAGACAGAUUCUUGAUAGCUGUUUCAGAGAUGUUUAUUUCUCCAGCCGCAUGGCCGGAGCUCUGCCCAGGAACUGUUCCAGUCACGGGACCAAGGGUCCUUCUGCCCGCGCAGGGAACACAAACCAACCAAUGGGAACGAGGCUGAGCAGGGACAGGGAAGCCCCGUGUCUGUGCCCUCAGCGCCCCUCUCCCAGGGCUCCAUGGCAGGGGAGGGACCCCAACAAAAAUUUCCACUUUUCAACUUCCUUUUCUGCCCGCAGGUGAGAAAAGGAUCCACUCCCAGCUCCGGGCUCCUCCGCAAACCAACUGCUUUCAGCAGCGCCAGUCCUGAAAUACCAACCUCCUUCCUUAACCUGCCCCCUGGGAGCUCACGCACCAAGAGGCCUUUGUCCAAGGACACCCGCAGCAGAGCUCGAGGAUGGAGCGGUCUGAAACGCAGCUCCUUCAGAGUUUAAACCUCCCUUUAUCAACUGAACGCACCCCAGCCUGUCCCAAAGGGAAAGCAGGCAGGAAAGAGGAGCUCCUCUCCCACAACAGCAAACCCUGUGCUUCCUUAAGUUCCACUUGGAGGACGGAGGCCAUGGGCUACUCCUCAGUUUGGGAAGGAACCCAACCCAGGGAAAUGGCCUGAUUUGGGAGCCCAGCAGAGGCAAGUGCCCCAAAAAGAAGGAAAAGAUUCUCUGGAAGCAAAAGAUUAUGGCAAUAGUUCUGCAGAAAGAAAAAAACAGAAGAAGAAUUGAAGCAACAUUUCAAAAAGUUCCCAGACAAAAAGUUCUGCCCCAACACGCAGUCUCUGUGGUGUGUCAGGAAGCUCAUGAAUGAACCUGCAAGCCUUGGAUACACAUCAUUUGUGUCCGUCCCCCAGAGCACAAGCAGCUCCCCAACAAGACUUCAAGACUAAAGGACAAAGCUUCCCCCUUCACCUCUCCACACCAGCUCUAGGGAGGCUCUGUCCAUUGCAAGAUCUCCUUUGUGUCUGCAUUGACAAGAGCUGGCUGCAGAAGGGGUUUGCAUUGGAACUCUCCCCAGACAGGGGAAAAAAAAGGAACAGAAAAAGUGAUUCCUGAGGAAAGAAAAUGCAAUGCCCUUUGGGAAGACACCGGCAUGAGUUCGCUACAGCUGCAGGCCAUUAAUCCCUUGGGGAAAGCACCAUCCAUCCAUGGCACAGCACUUCAGCUUUGAUGACAAUGCUGACAAAAUUGCUGCCCCUUCCUGCUGCUGCUGCUGACCCCAAAUCACAAGAAAUGUGCCAAAUCUGCCAACAACAGGCAGAGAUGGCGAGAACAAAACAGCUGGUCUGCUGAAAAGGAGGCAAAAAGAAUGUAUUCUAACCUCCCCUUUUCAUCCUUUCCCCAGCCAACACAGAGACAUGUCCUUUCCCUCUGGCACCGAUGCUGGCCCAGGCACGGCAUGCCCGCCGCUGCUCCCAGAGCCCUCGCCAGGGGCUUCCCGUGCCAUGCCGUGUUGGUCCGUGCCGUGUUGGUCUGUGCCAUGCCGUGUCGGUCCGUGCCGUGCCGUGUCGGUCCGUGCCGGUCCGUGCCGUGCCGUGCCGGUCCGUGCCGUGUCGGUCCGUGCCAUGCCGUGCCGUGCCGUGUUGGUCCGGUCCGUGCCGUGCCAUGUUGGUCCGUGCCGUGCCGGUCCGUGCCGUGCCGUGCCGUGUCGGUCCGUGCCGUGCCGUGUCGGUCCGUGCCGUGUCGGUCCGUGCCGUGCCGUGCCGUGCCGUGCCGUGCCGUGCCGUGCCG